RNAcentral lists this ribosomal RNA (827 nucleotides) under uncultured bacterium. Its description in RNAcentral is "bacterial SSU rRNA". It matches the Rfam family "Bacterial small subunit ribosomal RNA", at positions 43 to 851 of the family's 1533-position model. The record is from RNAcentral.
CGUCUCCGUUAAUGAUUUUAGGUGCUUGCACUUGAAAGAUUUAACAUUGAGACGAGUGGCGAACUGGUGAGUAACACGUGGGUAACCUGCCCUUGAAGUAGGGGAUAACACUUGGAAACAGGUGCUAAUACCGUAUAACAACCAAAACCACCUGGUUUUGGUUUAAAAGACGGCUUCGGCUGUCACUUUAGGAUGGACCCGCGGCGCAUUAGCUUGUUGGUAAGGUAACGGCUUACCAAGGCGAUGAUACGUAGCCGACCUGAGAGGGUAAUCGGCCACAUUGGGACUGAGACACGGCCCAAACUCCUACGGGAGGCAGCAGUAGGGAAUCUUCCACAAUGGACGAAAGUCUGAUGGAGCAACGCCGCGUGAGUGAUGAAGGGUUUCGGCUCGUAAAACUCUGUUGUUGGAGAAGAACAGGUGUCAGAGUAACUGUUGACAUCUUGACGGUAUCCAACCAGAAAGCCACGGCUAACUACGUGCCAGCAGCCGCGGUAAUACGUAGGUGGCAAGCGUUGUCCGGAUUUAUUGGGCGUAAAGCGAGCGCAGGCGGUUUUUUAGGUCUGAUGUGAAAGCCUUCGGCUUAACCGGAGAAGUGCAUCGGAAACCGGGAGACUUGAGUGCAGAAGAGGACAGUGGAACUCCAUGUGUAGCGGUGAAAUGCGUAGAUAUAUGGAAGAACACCAGUGGCGAAGGCGGCUGUCUGGUCUGUAACUGACGCUGAGGCUCGAAAGCAUGGGUAGCGAACAGGAUUAGAUACCCUGGUAGUCCAUGCCGUAAACGAUGAGUGCUAAGUGUUGGAGGGUUUCCGCCCUUCAGUGCUGCAG